UACGUAGGGUGCGAGCGUUAAUCGGAAUUACUGGGCGUAAAGCGUGCGCAGGCGGCGCGUUAAGACAGGUGUGAAAGCCCCGAGCUUAACUUGGGAAUUGCGCUUGUGACUGGCGUGCUGGAGUGUGGCAGAGGGAGGUGGAAUUCCACGUGUAGCAGUGAAAUGCGUAGAGAUGUGGAGGAACACCGAUGGCGAAGGCGGUGGUCUGGGCCGGCACUGACGCUGAGGAGCGAAAGCGUGGGUAGCAAACAGG
This 253-nucleotide ribosomal RNA is filed under the name uncultured bacterium. RNAcentral describes it as "partial 16S ribosomal RNA". It matches the Rfam family "Bacterial small subunit ribosomal RNA", at positions 524 to 776 of the family's 1533-position model. The record is from RNAcentral.